Molecule: ribosomal RNA, 332 nt
Filed under: uncultured eukaryote
Lineage: Eukaryota
Description: partial 18S ribosomal RNA
Rfam family: Eukaryotic small subunit ribosomal RNA
Source: RNAcentral
CAAUAGCGUAUAUUAAAGUUGUUGCAGUUAAAAAGCUCGUAGUUGAAUUUCGGGUCCCCGCGCUCGGCGCUUCAUUGUGCCGUCGUGGUGUCCCUCCUCGCCGUAAGGCGUCCUUUACUGUGAAAAAAUUAGAGUGUUCAAAGCAGGCAAUCGCUUGAAUACAUUAGCAUGGAAUAAUAAGAUAGGAUCUUGUCUAUUUUGUUGGUUGCGGACAACGAUAAUGAUUAAUAGGGGUAGUUGGGGGUGUCCGUAUUGAGCUGUCAGAGGUGAAAUUCUUGGAUUUGCUCAAGACGAACUACUGCGAAAGCAUUCACCAAGGAUGUUUUCAUUAA